AAGUAUAUAGCUCAGUUGGUAGAGCACCGGACUUUUAAUCCGAGGGUCUUGGGUUCAAAUCCCAAUAUACUUA
This 73-nucleotide transfer RNA is filed under the name Phytophthora podocarpi. Its description in RNAcentral is "Phytophthora taxon totara tRNA-Lys". It matches the Rfam family "tRNA". Rfam says of the family: Transfer RNA (tRNA) molecules are approximately 80 nucleotides in length. Their secondary structure includes four short double-helical elements and three loops (D, anti-codon, and T loops). Lineage: Eukaryota; Oomycota; Peronosporomycetes; Peronosporales; Peronosporaceae. The record is from RNAcentral.